Molecule: long non-coding RNA, 981 nt
Filed under: Cyanistes caeruleus (blue tit)
Lineage: Eukaryota; Metazoa; Chordata; Aves; Passeriformes; Paridae
Description: lncRNA (ENSCCEG00000024092.1)
Source: RNAcentral
UGGUGAAGCAUCAAAGCCUUUCCAUGCAGUGAAACAGAGCGCAGCAGCCCUUAAUUCUGCAUUCCCAAUCCCUGCUGGAACUUGAAGCACAGGACCUACGGACAGAAACAGCUUUGGAGGACAGAGCUGGCAGGAACAAGGAGCAGGAGGCAGAGAAUAUUCCAGGUAAUUCAGAAUUUCCCUUCCGUACAUCCCCAUUCUCUGCACGUGCGUUUUGCCAGCGUUCAGCCAGGAAGGAUCAAGGCUGCUUCCCUGCUACUGCAAGGAACUUUUCCAUGUGCCCACAAGGUCAUGGACACUCUGGAACAGGAGGGAUUGAGACAGCACAAGUGACAGCAGAGACGGCAUCUCCUGGGUGGAAGGAGCUGGAGCCGAGGCACCCACUUUGCUCCUCCUGGGAGACAGCUCCACGCAGUCAGACACCACCAGGGUGCCAAGCAAUGAAGUCAGCAGCACUGAACUCAGCAGCUGUACAGAUGUCUUGGGUUUGGGGCCAUGCUCAACAUAUCAACUCCAACAGGAGGUUUUUGGAAGGUUCCUCAGGAGCCAGGCGGUUCUUGCUGCACUGUCCACAGGCAAACACUGCUCUGGCUCUUUGGCCAAACUGGAACAGUGCCAGUCACUCAGGGAACUGCUGCCAUUGAGAUCUCUUGUCAGAGAGGAACUUGAAUAUUGAAGAGAAUUAAAGAGCCACAGAAUAUCCUGAGCUGGGAGGGACCCCCAGGAUCACCCAGCCCAGCUCCCAGACCUGCCCAGACCCCCCAACAUCCCAGCCUGGGCAUCCCUGGAGCUCUGGCAGCCUCGGGGCCGUGCCCAUUCCCUGGGGAGCCUGGGCAGUGCCAGCAGCCUCUGGGGGAAGAACCUUGCCUUGAUCUGCAGCCUGAGCCUGGCCUGGCCCAGCUCCAGCUCCUGGGGAGCUCUGCCCUCAGUCUCUUCUCCAGGCUGAACAAAUCAAGAGAUAAUAAUAAUAAUAAUAAUAAU